This 377-nucleotide ribosomal RNA is filed under the name uncultured Chloroflexota bacterium. Its description in RNAcentral is "bacterial SSU rRNA". It matches the Rfam family "Bacterial small subunit ribosomal RNA", at positions 521 to 896 of the family's 1533-position model. The record is from RNAcentral. Lineage: Bacteria; Bacillati; Chloroflexota.
UAAAACGUAGGAGGCGAGCGUUAUCCGGAUUUACUGGGCGUAAAGCGCGUGCAGGCGGUUUGGUAAGUCGGACGUGAAAGCUCCCGGCUCAACUGGGAGAGGUCGUUCGAAACUGCCAGACUAGAGGGCAGCAGAGGGAGGUGGAAUUCCGGGUGUAGCGGUGAAAUGCGUAGAUAUCCGGAGGAACACCAGUGGCGAAGGCGGCCUCCUGGACUGUCCCUGACGCUAAGACGCGAAAGCUAGGGUAGCAAACGGGAUUAGAAACCCCGGUAGUCCUAGCCGUAAACGAUGCACACUUGGUGUUGGUGGCGUAAGACCCAUCAGUGCCGCAGCUAACGCGAUAAGUGUGCCGCCUGGGGACUACGGUCGCAAGGCUA